ACGCUCGACACCUACGGGCAGCAGUGGGGAAUAUUGCACAAUGGGGGAAACCCUGAUGCAGCGACGCCGCGUGAGCGAAGAAGUAUUUCGGUAUGUAAAGCUCUAUCAGCAGGGAAGAAACUGACGGUACCUGACUAAGAAGCACCGGCUAAAUACGUGCUAGCAGCCGCGGUAAUCUGAGCGGGCUGGCAAGGC
This 195-nucleotide ribosomal RNA is filed under the name uncultured bacterium. RNAcentral's name for it is "partial 16S ribosomal RNA". It matches the Rfam family "Bacterial small subunit ribosomal RNA", at positions 326 to 539 of the family's 1533-position model. The record is from RNAcentral.